Molecule: transfer RNA, 89 nt
Filed under: Xylariaceae sp. FL1019
Lineage: Eukaryota; Fungi; Ascomycota; Sordariomycetes; Xylariales; Xylariaceae
Description: tRNA-Arg
Rfam family: tRNA
About the family: Transfer RNA (tRNA) molecules are approximately 80 nucleotides in length. Their secondary structure includes four short double-helical elements and three loops (D, anti-codon, and T loops).
Source: RNAcentral
GGCCUGCUGGCGAAAUGGUAUCGCGUCAGAUUUCGGUACACCGAAAUUAAGAACUCUGAAGAUUGUCGGUUCGAAUCCGGCGUGGGUCG